Molecule: ribosomal RNA, 878 nt
Filed under: Lactiplantibacillus plantarum
Lineage: Bacteria; Bacillati; Bacillota; Bacilli; Lactobacillales; Lactobacillaceae
Description: bacterial SSU rRNA
Rfam family: Bacterial small subunit ribosomal RNA
Source: RNAcentral
CAUGCAAGUCGAACGAACUCUGGUAUUGAUUGGUGCUUGCAUCAUGAUUUACAUUUGAGUGAGUGGCGAACUGGUGAGUAACACGUGGGAAACCUGCCCAGAAGCGGGGGAUAACACCUGGAAACAGAUGCUAAUACCGCAUAACAACUUGGACCGCAUGGUCCGAGUUUGAAAGAUGGCUUCGGCUAUCACUUUUGGAUGGUCCCGCGGCGUAUUAGCUAGAUGGUGGGGUAACGGCUCACCAUGGCAAUGAUACGUAGCCGACCUGAGAGGGUAAUCGGCCACAUUGGGACUGAGACACGGCCCAAACUCCUACGGGAGGCAGCAGUAGGGAAUCUUCCACAAUGGACGAAAGUCUGAUGGAGCAACGCCGCGUGAGUGAAGAAGGGUUUCGGCUCGUAAAACUCUGUUGUUAAAGAAGAACAUAUCUGAGAGUAACUGUUCAGGUAUUGACGGUAUUUAACCAGAAAGCCACGGCUAACUACGUGCCAGCAGCCGCGGUAAUACGUAGGUGGCAAGCGUUGUCCGGAUUUAUUGGGCGUAAAGCGAGCGCAGGCGGUUUUUUAAGUCUGAUGUGAAAGCCUUCGGCUCAACCGAAGAAGUGCAUCGGAAACUGGGAAACUUGAGUGCAGAAGAGGACAGUGGAACUCCAUGUGUAGCGGUGAAAUGCGUAGAUAUAUGGAAGAACACCAGUGGCGAAGGCGGCUGUCUGGUCUGUAACUGACGCUGAGGCUCGAAAGUAUGGGUAGCAAACAGGAUUAGAUACCCUGGUAGUCCAUACCGUAAACGAUGAAUGCUAAGUGUUGGAGGGUUUCCGCCCUUCAGUGCUGCAGCUAACGCAUUAAGCAUUCCGCCUGGGGAGUACGGCCGCCAGGCUG